GUUUUACAUCCUUCCUGAGAUGCAAGACGUGUUUGGUAUUUUUGUUCAGGUUGUGUUUCAGGACUUCUGCAGGUUUGUUUCUCUGAAAACAUCAAGAAAGCGAGCUUCAUCAGCAGAAACUGCUGUCGUUACACAGAUAAACUUUACACAAACACACAACUUCAAGAAGAGAUUUCUAUCACACUAGUUUCAUGUCAACUCUAAAAUUCAGAAGAUUUUCACUUGUCUUUGCAGAAUGACGAAUCAAAAUGAUUUUCUGUGACAGAUGCUGCUGAAAGAGCUCAACAUUUCAUUUAUAUGCUGGACUGAUAUUAUAUUCAUUAUAAUUAAUGAAGAUAAACAGUAAUAAUAUUUAACAAACCACUGGACUAGAUUCGCAAUCGUGUGUUCGUCACUAGGCAACGUUACAUUUCCGCUGUGUGUUUCCAUGGCAACUACAAUUUAAGACUUUGGAUACGGCCGCGGCGUUCGUUCGU
Sinocyclocheilus grahami is the source of this 476-nucleotide long non-coding RNA. RefSeq lists it as uncharacterized. The transcript is spliced from 4 exons. Lineage: Eukaryota; Metazoa; Chordata; Actinopteri; Cypriniformes; Cyprinidae. The record is from RefSeq and is a predicted model, not a curated record.